UAAACUUUGGGAGAAGAUGCUGAAGCAAUGG
This 31-nucleotide non-coding RNA is filed under the name Mus musculus (house mouse). Lineage: Eukaryota; Metazoa; Chordata; Mammalia; Rodentia; Muridae. The record is from RNAcentral.